This is an RNA transcript of Cercocebus atys (sooty mangabey), 1260 nucleotides long. It is a transcript of the gene named serine--tRNA ligase, cytoplasmic-like, with no coding region annotated. The transcript is spliced from 8 exons. The record is from RefSeq and is a predicted model, not a curated record. NCBI's taxonomy places the organism in Eukaryota, Metazoa, Chordata, Mammalia, Primates, Cercopithecidae.
AUGCAGGCAGUGUUCACUCCCGCUGCCAUUGAAAUGAAAAAAGAGCCAGUGGAAGAUGAUGAGCUGUCCCAGAGAACGUGUUGAAUUUCGAUGACCUUACUGCAGACACUUUAGCUAACCUGAAAAUCUCACAAAUCAAGUCCGACUCCUCAUUGACAAAGCCAUCCUGAAGUGUGACGCGGAGCGGAUAAAGCUGGAAGCAGAGCGAUUUGAGAAACUUCGAGAGAUUGUGAACCUUCUGCACCCUUCUGUGCCCAUCAGUAACGAGAUGAGGCAGGUGGCUGUGCUGCAGCAGGAGGAUGCGGACAACAAAGUAGAGAGGAUUUGGGGUGAUUGUACGGUCAGGAAGAAGUACUCUCAUGUGGACCUGGUGGUGAUGGUAGAUGGCUUUGAAGGCGAAAAGGGGGCCAUGGUGGCUGGGAGUCAAGGGUAUUUCUUGAAGGGGGUCCUGGUGUUCCUGGGAACAGGCUCUCAUCCAGUAUGCCCUUCGCACCCUUGGGAAGUCGGGGCUACACUCCCAUUAUUACCCCCUUUUUCAUGAGGAAGGAGGUCAUGCAGGAGCCAAGGUCCUCCCCGCUUCCUCUUAACUGGUAUGGCUCCUUCCUUCCACAGGUGAUUGGCAAAGGCAGUGAAAAGUCUGAUGACAACUCCUAUGAUGAGAAGUACCUGAUUGCCACCUCAGAGCAGCCCAUCGCUGCCCUGCACCGGGAUGAGUGGCUCCGGCCGGAGGACCUGCCCAUCAAGUAUGCUGGCCUGUCUACCUGCUUCCGUCAGGAGGUGGGCUCCCAUGGCCGUGACACCUGUGGCAUCUUCCGAGUCCAUCAGUUUGAGAAGAUUGAACAGUUUGUGUACUCAUCACCACAUGACAACAAGUCGUGGGAGAUGUUUGAAGAGAUGAUUACCACCGCGGAGGAAUUCUACCAGUCCCUGGGCAUUCCUUACCACAUCGUGAAUAUUGUCUCAGGUUCUUUGAAUCAUGCUGCCAGUAAGAAGCUUGACCUGGAGGCCUGGUUUCCGGGCUCAGGAGCCUUCCGUGAGUUGGUCUCCUGUUCUAAUUGCACGGAUUACCAGGCUCGCCGGCUUCGAAUCCGAUAUGGGCAAACCAAGAAGAUGAUGGACAAGGUAGAUGGCCCCCAGGGAGGUGGGAAGCAGAACCUUCAGUACACGGCCCAUCCAUCUUAUUUCUCAGCCUUUGGGGUGCACUGGUCCCCAGCAUCAUGGGAAAAUCUGAGCUUCUCAAUCUAGACCAAAAAGGGAAUC